Molecule: long non-coding RNA, 1081 nt
Filed under: Equus asinus (donkey)
Lineage: Eukaryota; Metazoa; Chordata; Mammalia; Perissodactyla; Equidae
Description: lncRNA (ENSEASG00005034650.1)
Source: RNAcentral
UACCAUGAAAAGCGGAUCAUUAUUCAUUUAAUUCUGUAUAACUGAGGUCCAGUGAAAGGGGAAAAGAUAUGCAAGGACUCGUCAUCGUGUGCACCUCUGGAUCCCACGUCUAGAGGGACACGAGGAAAUUAAAACACAUUCAGAAGACAUUGACCAGAUGAUGUGUGAGUCAUGAAACCAGGUUUUAAAAACUGCUGGAGGUUGGAGUCUGUCCUGUGUUUUCAUAAGUUGAAGCUAAUGGAUACAUCUCACAGCUAUCUGCACCUAGAUGUCUGCUCUGGCUCCUGUCAAUGCUGCAGUUGUCUAAGGAUCAGAGGAAUGAGGAUGGGCCCUGAAGCUAGAGGUAGAGAGAGACAGUGGCAGCACUCAGAUGAGCUGUGACACUUGUGGGCUUGGACCUCUGUAAAUCUGGAUGCUAACCCCUGUGUUUGCCACUCCCACCUCAGCAGUUACGAACCUAGAGAUCUUAUGGGAGAAGAAGAGAAAAAGUAACACUUUAUAUUUUCUUCAACUAUCCCUCUGAAAGAGAAUUUACUAAUGCAUUUGGGGCCACUUCAAAUGUUCUUUCCCUCAGGGGAAGAUUUAACAAGAUAGAGAAUUUCAUGCACCUGAAAUCUGGAAGGAAGGCUGUCUACAAAAGAUAGACUUCAGUGGGUGGACUGUUGGCCUCAAUCUUUAUUAAAAGGAAAAUGAGGCAGAAAAGAAACCCCCACAUAAAUCAGGAAACCAUCCUAAGCUGUAAAAGUUUUGCUCAAAUGUGAAAUAUUUAUAUCCUCUUAAAUUCACCCAUGUUGUUAAAAAGAUCCCUGGGAUACUAGAUUUCUAUUAAGAAUUUUACAUAUUCUAGUUAUGAAUGUCAAGUAGCUGACAAGUAGCAACGUAUGUAAUAUAUGAGAGAUUGAGAAAAUAUGUUUUUAAUAGUGUAAUUGAAAGAAUUUCUGCAUCAUGUUACUAUACUUUCCAGUCAUAAAAAUACAUAAUAAAAUGCAAACUGAAGGAACUUUGCUUUAAUUCAAAAGUUAUAUUACAAAGGUUUCUGCUAAAAAAUAAAAUGUUUCCCUCCAUAAUACCAUAGCAAUAU